This 433-nucleotide ribosomal RNA is filed under the name uncultured bacterium. RNAcentral's name for it is "partial 16S ribosomal RNA". It matches the Rfam family "Bacterial small subunit ribosomal RNA", at positions 29 to 507 of the family's 1533-position model. The record is from RNAcentral.
AACGAACGCUGGCGGCAUGCCUAACACAUGCAAGUCGAACGAGACCUUCGGGUCUAGUGGCGCACGGGUGCGUAACGCGUGGGAACCUGCCCUUAGGUUCGGAAUAACUCCCCGAAAGGGGUGCUAAUACCGGAUAAUGUCUUCGGACCAAAGAUUUAUCGCCUUUGGAUGGGCCCGCGUUGGAUUAGCUAGUUGGUAGGGGAAAAGCCUACCAAGGCGACGAUCCAUAGCUGGUCUGAGAGGAUGAUCAGCCACACUGGGACUGAGACACGGCCCAGACUCCUACGGGAGGCAGCAGUGGGGAAUAUUGGACAAUGGGCGAAAGCCUGAUCCAGCAAUGCCGCGUGAGUGAUGAAGGCCUUAGGGUUGUAAAGCUCUUUUACCCGGGAUGAUAAUGACAGUACCGGGAGAAUAAGCGCCGGCUAACUCCGUG